GAUGAACGCUAGCGGGAGGCCUAAUACAUGCAAGUCGAGCGGCAGCUAGAGAUUCGUCUUUAGUGAGAGCGGCGCACGGGUGAGUAACGCGUACGAAAUCUACCGAUAGUUGGGGGAGUAGCCCCGGGAAACCGUAGGGAGGUAAUCCGCCAUAUCUUUAUUGAGACGGCAUCGUUUUAUUAAAGAAAGACUGAGGCGACUAUUGAUGAUCGUGCGUCUGAUUAGGUAGUUGGUAGGGUAACGGCCUACCAAGCCGACGAUCAGUAGGGGGCGUGAGAGCGUGACCCCCCACCACGGGUACGUGAGACACGGACCCGACUCCUACGGGAGGCAGCAGUAAGGAAUAUUGGUCGAAUAGGGCGGAAAGACCUGAACC
Molecule: ribosomal RNA, 376 nt
Filed under: uncultured bacterium
Lineage: Bacteria
Description: bacterial SSU rRNA
Rfam family: Bacterial small subunit ribosomal RNA
Source: RNAcentral